AGGAGUGACGUGGGCUAGCUCCAAUGCUCGUGGGGGCAACAGGGGUGUACAGGGGUACAUAGAAUCGGCUAACUAACAUAUAUCAGAACCCCUAAUCUGAACCCAAACCCAGGAUACAACAUCUGAUUGUUGAGCAUUGGUUUCUAUGAAAGAAAAUAUCUUAUAGCCAUGCCUGUCUACUAAGGGAGGUACCAGAGCUGUGAAAUUACCAGAGUUUAAACUUUUUGAAAGCACAAGACUCCUAAAGCAAGUUAGUAGGUCUCACUGUGAACAAAGGGUGAUAAUAGAAGGGACCUCAGAGCAUCCCUGCCUUAAAGCAGCUAUGGAGCUGGACCACGUUGCUCAUGCCCUGGGAACAUUCACAUCUCAGAGAAGAUCUGGACAUUCAGGUGUGCUUCAUUGAAGUCAAAAAACACUUUGAGAUCUUCAGAUGAAAGGUACUUGAAAAUUGAGGCAAGCAUAAAAAAGUUCGUCUUGUUUGAAGAGCAUGGACUGGAAUUGCAUACAUGAAUUAGACUUCAUACAAUAUUUGCUCUGACCAAAGCACUAAGACUUAUCACAUCUGCUCAGAUGAUGUCCCAGGAGUUUAAUCUGUACUGCAGAACUAGACCAGGACUGCUAUUACUGUUAUUUUAUUGUUAUAGUGCCCCUUAGACUCAUACUUUAGUUUCCCUCUCUGUAACAGAAAUGGGAGAGGUUAAGUGUUUUACUACUCUAGUUGCUCUGUAUAGUAUCCUCUGCAGAGUACGUUUAUACUCCCAGUCUUGUAAAUAUUGCACAUAAGAGAAACUUGCAUAAAAAAGGAAGACAUGAGGUUUUUAGAGAUGUGCUCUGGUUAUAAUAGUAAAAUAAUCACAGAACACAGACAAGACCCCUUGUAUGGAAAAAUGACUUUCAAAUACAUCUUUAUGUAGAGUA
This is a long non-coding RNA of Vidua chalybeata, 918 nucleotides long. RefSeq lists it as uncharacterized. NCBI's taxonomy places the organism in Eukaryota, Metazoa, Chordata, Aves, Passeriformes, Viduidae. The record is from RefSeq and is a predicted model, not a curated record. The transcript is spliced from 4 exons.